Salmo salar (Atlantic salmon) is the source of this 190-nucleotide non-coding RNA. NCBI's taxonomy places the organism in Eukaryota, Metazoa, Chordata, Actinopteri, Salmoniformes, Salmonidae. The record is from RefSeq and is a predicted model, not a curated record.
UAAAUGGGGAUUACACUAUGAUGGAGCCCUGAUACAGAGGACAAAGCACAGUUAAAUGGAGGAGCGGGACAGAAGCCGCUCCCCGUCCCGCAGGACCAGUCGGGUGGAGCAGGUGGUGGGGCGAUGGCUACGACGCUCCAGGGAUUCCAGCAGCAGAGAGCGUAUCCUGGUAGAUGGGAAGGCAGCUGCG